Molecule: long non-coding RNA, 238 nt
Filed under: Cucumis sativus (cucumber)
Lineage: Eukaryota; Viridiplantae; Streptophyta; Magnoliopsida; Cucurbitales; Cucurbitaceae
Description: long non-coding RNA (CSAT_LNC001873)
Source: RNAcentral
GAAAAGGUCUUCAAGUCUAAAAGAUCGUGUUGACAAUGCUAAGUGAUUGUGUUGACUAGGUAGGUGAUCGUUUAAAUCAUAUCCGUGUUUUGUUUGUUCUUUUUAAACAAUAGAAAAAUGACUUCAAAUCUAAACGAUCGUGUUGACUAUGCUAAAUAAUCGCAUUGACUAGGUAGGCGAUCGUUUAGACCAUGUCCACACGUUCGUAUAGUUCUUUUUAAACAAUCGAAAAAUGGCU